AUAUCAAAGUGGACCUGUCCUUCAA
Molecule: non-coding RNA, 25 nt
Filed under: Rattus norvegicus (Norway rat)
Lineage: Eukaryota; Metazoa; Chordata; Mammalia; Rodentia; Muridae
Source: RNAcentral